GAUGAACGCUGGCGGCGUGCCUAAUACAUGCAAGUCGAGCGAACAGACGAGGAGCUUGCUCCUCUGACGUUAGCGGCGGACGGGUGAGUAACACGUGGAUAACCUACCUAUAAGACUGGGAUAACUUCGGGAAACCGGAGCUAAUACCGGAUAAUAUAUUGAACCGCAUGGUUCAAUAGUGAAAGACGGUGGUGCUGGCACGUAUAGAGGGAUCCGCGCCGCAUUAGCUAGUUGGUAAGGUAACGGCUUACCAAGGGAACGAUGCGUAGCCGACCUGAGAGGGUGAUCGGCCACACUGGAACUGAGCCACGCUCCAGACUCCUACGGGACGCAGCAGUCUGGAACCUUCCGCAAUGGGCGAAAGCCUGACGGAGCAACGCCGCGUGAGUGAUGAAGGUCUUCCGAUCGUAAAACUCUGUUAUUAGGGAAGAACAAAUGUGUAAGUAACUAUGCACGUCUUGACGGUACCUAAUCAGAAAGCCACGGCUAACUACGUG
RNAcentral lists this ribosomal RNA (497 nucleotides) under uncultured bacterium. RNAcentral's name for it is "partial 16S ribosomal RNA". It matches the Rfam family "Bacterial small subunit ribosomal RNA", at positions 28 to 507 of the family's 1533-position model. The record is from RNAcentral.